UUAAAUUUAGUUUUCGAUCAGACACAAGCUAAACAGCAUAGAUUCGACGCCCAGAGGCGCCGAAGCACUUCUCGCUUCCACAGGUUUGAGGAUUAAGGACCCGAAAUGGGUCCAAAUCUUAUUAAUGAUCCCUCCGCAGGUUCACCUACGGAGA
This 154-nucleotide unclassified non-coding RNA is filed under the name uncultured fungus. RNAcentral's name for it is "sequence contains ITS1". The record is from RNAcentral. Lineage: Eukaryota; Fungi.